RNAcentral lists this ribosomal RNA (1718 nucleotides) under Pseudomonas aeruginosa. RNAcentral's name for it is "partial 23S ribosomal RNA". It matches the Rfam family "Bacterial large subunit ribosomal RNA", at positions 1228 to 2925 of the family's 2925-position model. The record is from RNAcentral. Lineage: Bacteria; Pseudomonadati; Pseudomonadota; Gammaproteobacteria; Pseudomonadales; Pseudomonadaceae.
GUAGAGGAGCGUUCUGUAAGCCUGUGAAGGUGAGUUGAGAAGCUUGCUGGAGGUAUCAGAAGUGCGAAUGCUGACAUGAGUAACGACAAUGGGUGUGAAAAACACCCACGCCGAAAGACCAAGGGUUCCUGCGCAACGUUAAUCGACGCAGGGUUAGUCGGUUCCUAAGGCGAGGCUGAAAAGCGUAGUCGAUGGGAAACAGGUUAAUAUUCCUGUACUUCUGGUUACUGCGAUGGAGGGACGGAGAAGGCUAGGCCAGCUUGGCGUUGGUUGUCCAAGUUUAAGGUGGUAGGCUGAAAUCUUAGGUAAAUCCGGGGUUUCAAGGCCGAGAGCUGAUGACGAGUCGUCUUUUAGAUGACGAAGUGGUUGAUGCCAUGCUUCCAAGAAAAGCUUCUAAGCUUCAGGUAACCAGGAACCGUACCCCAAACCGACACAGGUGGUCGGGUAGAGAAUACCAAGGCGCUUGAGAGAACUCGGGUGAAGGAACUAGGCAAAAUGGCACCGUAACUUCGGGAGAAGGUGCGCCGGCUAGGGUGAAGGAUUUACUCCGUAAGCUCUGGCUGGUCGAAGAUACCAGGCCGCUGCGACUGUUUAUUAAAAACACAGCACUCUGCAAACACGAAAGUGGACGUAUAGGGUGUGACGCCUGCCCGGUGCCGGAAGGUUAAUUGAUGGGGUUAGCGCAAGCGAAGCUCUUGAUCGAAGCCCCGGUAAACGGCGGCCGUAACUAUAACGGUCCUAAGGUAGCGAAAUUCCUUGUCGGGUAAGUUCCGACCUGCACGAAUGGCGUAACGAUGGCGGCGCUGUCUCCACCCGAGACUCAGUGAAAUUGAAAUCGCUGUGAAGAUGCAGUGUAUCCGCGGCUAGACGGAAAGACCCCGUGAACCUUUACUGUAGCUUUGCACUGGACUUUGAGCCUGCUUGUGUAGGAUAGGUGGGAGGCUUUGAAGCGUGGACGCCAGUUCGCGUGGAGCCAUCCUUGAAAUACCACCCUGGCAUGCUUGAGGUUCUAACUCUGGUCCGUGAUCCGGAUCGAGGACAGUGUAUGGUGGGCAGUUUGACUGGGGCGGUCUCCUCCUAAAGAGUAACGGAGGAGUACGAAGGUGCGCUCAGACCGGUCGGAAAUCGGUCGUAGAGUAUAAAGGCAAAAGCGCGCUUGACUGCGAGACAGACACGUCGAGCAGGUACGAAAGUAGGUCUUAGUGAUCCGGUGGUUCUGUAUGGAAGGGCCAUCGCUCAACGGAUAAAAGGUACUCCGGGGAUAACAGGCUGAUACCGCCCAAGAGUUCAUAUCGACGGCGGUGUUUGGCACCUCGAUGUCGGCUCAUCACAUCCUGGGGCUGAAGCCGGUCCCAAGGGUAUGGCUGUUCGCCAUUUAAAGUGGUACGCGAGCUGGGUUUAGAACGUCGUGAGACAGUUCGGUCCCUAUCUGCCGUGGACGUUUGAGAUUUGAGAGGGGCUGCUCCUAGUACGAGAGGACCGGAGUGGACGAACCUCUGGUGUUCCGGUUGUCACGCCAGUGGCAUUGCCGGGUAGCUAUGUUCGGAAAAGAUAACCGCUGAAAGCAUCUAAGCGGGAAACUUGCCUCAAGAUGAGAUCUCACUGGGAACUUGAUUCCCCUGAAGGGCCGUCGAAGACUACGACGUUGAUAGGCUGGGUGUGUAAGCGUUGUGAGGCGUUGAGCUAACCAGUACUAAUUGCCCGUGAGGCUUGACCAU